RNAcentral lists this ribosomal RNA (440 nucleotides) under uncultured bacterium. Its description in RNAcentral is "partial 16S ribosomal RNA". It matches the Rfam family "Bacterial small subunit ribosomal RNA", at positions 338 to 795 of the family's 1533-position model. The record is from RNAcentral.
CCUACGGGAGGCAGCGGUGGGGGAUAUUGCACAAUGGGGGGAACCCUGAUGCAGCGACGCCGCGUGGGUGAAGGAGCGUUUAGGCGCUGAAAGCCCUAUCGGUAGGGAAGAAGAUGACGGUACCUGACCAAGAAGCCCCGGCUAACUACGUGCCAGCAGCCGCGGUAAUAAGUAGGGGGCAAGCGUUAUCGGGAUUUACUGGGUGGAAAGGGGGCGCAGACGGCAAUGGAAGCCAGGAGUGAAAGCCCGGGGCCCAACCCCGGGACUGCUCUUGGAAAUGCAUGGCUGGAGUACAGGAGGGGCAGGCGGAAUUCCUGGUGUAGCGGUGAAAUGCGUAGAUAUUAGGAGGAACACCGGUGGCGAAGGCGGCCUUCUGGACUGUGACUGACGUUGAGGCCCGAAGGCGUGGGGAGCGAACGGGAUUAGAUACCCCUGUAGUC